GACGAACGCUGGCGGCGUGCCUAAUACAUGCAAGUAGAACGCACAGUUUAUACCGUAGCUUGCUACACCAUAAACUGUGAGUUGCGAACGGGUGAGUAACGCGUAGGUAACCUGCCUGGUAGCGGGGGAUAACUAUUGGAAACGAUAGCUAAUACCGCAUAAUAUUGAUUAUUGCAUGAUAAUUGAUUGAAAGAUGCUAUUGCAUCACUACCAGAUGGACCUGCGUUGUAUUAGCUAGUAGGUGAGGUAACGGCUCACCUAGGCGACGAUACAUAGCCGACCUGAGAGGGUGAUCGGCCACACUGGGACUGAGACACGGCCCAGACUCCUACGGGAGGCAGCAGUAGGGAAUCUUCGGCAAUGGACGAAAGUCUGACCGAGCAACGCCGCGUGAGUGAAGAAGGUUUUCGGAUCGUAAAGCUCUGUUGUAAGAGAAGAACGGGUGUGAGAGUGGAAAGUUCACACUGUGACGGUAUCUUACCAGAAAGGGACGGCUAACUACGUG
RNAcentral lists this ribosomal RNA (505 nucleotides) under uncultured bacterium. Its description in RNAcentral is "partial 16S ribosomal RNA". It matches the Rfam family "Bacterial small subunit ribosomal RNA", at positions 28 to 507 of the family's 1533-position model. The record is from RNAcentral.